This is a long non-coding RNA of Cynoglossus semilaevis (tongue sole), 1113 nucleotides long. RefSeq lists it as uncharacterized. Lineage: Eukaryota; Metazoa; Chordata; Actinopteri; Pleuronectiformes; Cynoglossidae. The transcript has 5 exons. The record is from RefSeq and is a predicted model, not a curated record.
AGGAUGUAGGGCGACAGAGAGACAGUCAUGCAUCACACAUCAACGCCGUCCUGUAGCUGUCCUGCUCAUGACAAUGGCCAGUCUCUCUUUACUGUGUACUGUCUUAUAUGAGGGGAUUUAUAUGAUGGACGGAAACAGGUUACUGAGACUCGGGGGGGAUGUGCGGACUGACAUAUUGUCGUAUUUUGUUCGAUAGUGGACAGAUUAUAUGGUCUUGAGUCUUGAGUUUGGCCAGUCGUCAGCCUAAAAGGAACACAGAAUACAAAAAAAAAAAAAAAAACACAGAAGAAAAGACUUGCUGAGGAAAUCUCACAUUCUUAACUAUCCUCCCUCUGUCAUUCAUAAUGUUUUUAAACUGAAACUACCACUAUUUGAAAUUGACUAAAGGCACAGUCUAAAUACAAAUACAACAUGUACUGCGAUCACCUGGUUUGAAUUAAAUUCUUUUACUUUUUUUCUCCUCAGUGCUCCACUUCCUACUUCCUGUGUCUAUUCCUCCCCUUCAUCAACUUCUCCUCACCUCCUGUGCGUCCCCUCACACUGAUUACUUAACCUUCUUCACCUGUGUCUUGUUAGCUCCUCCCCUUCUACUAUUCAAACCUGAUCCACUGCCAGUUUGUUUCAUGCCUAGUUUUUGUCUGUAGUUUUCCCUCCUGAGACUCUUCCUUCCUACUCCUAUCUUAAGGUCGGGAGGAAAGAGUUCCUGGAAAAUACAGUGCAAGUCCAACGGUGAUGAAAGCUCCCGCAGGACUCCGGGCUGACUGGCUGUAAAUGAACUCCAAAGUGGAGACUGAAAACAACCUGUCAGAGCUCUUCACCAUUGAGCAACCCUUCAAUACCAUAUUAGAGGGAAUUUAAACGUGUUCGCUGACACUCCGAGGCCCUUCCGAACACAGGUUGUGUUUUCCUCUCCUUUCUGUGGAUUUUUGACACCACUGCUCACUCUGUCUCCUGGUCGACAAGUCUCCCUGAGUCACCAGAGGCCUGUGCCAACUGGCGGGAACGAGCCUGACCGCUAACAAGUGUUCACUGACUCAUAGCGCCACAAAAACGUGUUCUUUUGGGGAUGAUCAAAAAAAUGUUUGAGUUCAUAGAGAGCGGCUGUCAGCUCUU